AUGUGCAACUCAUGUAAAACUACUGUCCAUCAAGAACUUCAGUGUUCACAAGAUUAUGACGUUAUUUCUAUUCAGGAUAUCAGACCGUCUUCACCAGGUUUACAGGCGGUAACGUCAGUAGUUAUUUCAUCUGUUUUCAAUUCAUACACAACUACUUUGCCCGUUGUUCAUACUUUACUUUGCUCGGAUGACGAUUCACUUCACUUCAUCUAUAACGGU
This 219-nucleotide long non-coding RNA is filed under the name Mytilus galloprovincialis (Mediterranean mussel). The record is from RNAcentral. Lineage: Eukaryota; Metazoa; Mollusca; Bivalvia; Mytilida; Mytilidae.